RNAcentral lists this unclassified non-coding RNA (237 nucleotides) under plant metagenome. RNAcentral's name for it is "partial contains small subunit ribosomal RNA, internal transcribed spacer 1, and 5.8S ribosomal RNA". The record is from RNAcentral.
GUUUCCGUAGGUGAACCUGCGGAAGGAUCAUUACUGAGUGAGGGCCCCUCGGGGUCCAACCUCCCACCCGUGUUUAACGAACCUUGUUGCUUCGGCGGGCCCGCCUCACGGCCGCCGGGGGGCAUUUGCCCCCGGGCCCGCGCCCGCCGAAGCCACCUGUGAACGCUGUCUGAAGUAUGCAGUCUGAGACAAUUAUUAAAUUAAUUAAAACUUUCAACAACGGAUCUCUUGGUUCCG